This is a long non-coding RNA of Sardina pilchardus (European sardine), 260 nucleotides long. RefSeq lists it as uncharacterized. The record is from RefSeq and is a predicted model, not a curated record. Lineage: Eukaryota; Metazoa; Chordata; Actinopteri; Clupeiformes; Clupeidae. The transcript is spliced from 3 exons.
GAGUUGUAUUGUCACUGAAAAUGAAAACCUGUGUUGCUGGGGCUGCACAGAGAAGAGGAGGCCCGACUUCCAGCAUGAAGAUGCUAAAAGCUGUCCUCCUAGAUGCAUUUCCAUAGAGCAGCGGUUCUCUGAAUUUCCGUAUGCAAAAGAAUAUAGCAACACUGAGAAGCAGUGCUUCACUGAGGCACACGCUGCUUCUUUGACUCUUCUUUGAUCAUAAGACUGGACUGGCGAUUGGAUUUCACCCUGCAUCUCAGGCU